CGUUAUUCUACAAAGGAAGCAGGAGUGUGCAGACAAAACGGCUGACAGAAUAAGAGAGGUCACCGGUCAGCUGCAGCGAUGGAGCAAAGCAGUGAAAUCUGAGCCAUCAUCGCUCAACCAGGCGGCCAUGGAUGAAGGUCUGCAGCAUCAGCGAGUGCUGGACGAGCUGCUGUCGGAGCAAAUCUUUCUUCUGAAUUGUCUGGGAGCUAAAGUGUCAAAGAAACUGCGGAAUAAGGCUUCAGGGGCUCUGAAAGACAGCAGACCUGCAUUUGAAAUACUAUCUAAAUACCUGUUGGAUGACAGCUCCAGGAGAGCACAGAUGGAAAACAGUGAUUUUCAAAGUGGAAGCAGUGAAGACAGACCUCAAUAUUCACCUUCAUCUGAGGAGACUUACCUCCAAACACCUCCUGCUUCCACGUCUUCUUCUGCAACAAGCAACAACACUGAAACUCAGAGCAGU
This is a long non-coding RNA of Salarias fasciatus (jewelled blenny), 460 nucleotides long. RefSeq lists it as uncharacterized. The record is from RefSeq and is a predicted model, not a curated record. Lineage: Eukaryota; Metazoa; Chordata; Actinopteri; Blenniiformes; Blenniidae. The transcript has 3 exons.